RNAcentral lists this ribosomal RNA (253 nucleotides) under uncultured bacterium. RNAcentral describes it as "partial 16S ribosomal RNA". It matches the Rfam family "Bacterial small subunit ribosomal RNA", at positions 524 to 776 of the family's 1533-position model. The record is from RNAcentral.
UACAGAGGGUGCGCGCGUUAAUCGGAAUUACUGGGCGUAAAGCGCACGUAGGUGGUUUAGUAAGUCGGAUGUGAAAUCCCCGGGCUUAACCUGGGAACUGCAUUCGAAACUGCUUUACUAGAGUAUGGGAGAGGACAGUGGAAUUUCAGGUGUAGCGGUGAAAUGCGUAGAUAUCUGAAGGAACAUCAGUGGCGAAAGCGACUGUCUGGACCAAUACUGACGCUCAUGUGCGAAAGCGUGGGGAGCAAACAGG